Molecule: long non-coding RNA, 3358 nt
Organism: Mobula hypostoma (lesser devil ray)
Lineage: Eukaryota; Metazoa; Chordata; Chondrichthyes; Myliobatiformes; Myliobatidae
Exons: 3
Source: RefSeq, a predicted model, not a curated record
UGAACUAUUUCUGCACCAUCAGUAUUAUUAUUUUUUUUGUGAAGGGGGCGGAGGCGGUGGGGAGAAAAACUCUCUGUUGGGCUGUGGGGAAAUCCACCAUGCAAGACAGUCUCAGCGGAUCCACAGAGCCAUCGAGCAGUGCCCAGGGAUAAUCUCCUCUUCACCUACAGACACCAGCGCACUGCAAUGUUCUCAAUGAUCUCCUUUGCUCAGGGAAGUAUUAACGCAGCGCAACAACAUUUUAAAAGGUUUCUGUUUGCGAUCCAAAUCUAAUUGGCGUUUGUCUGCGAGGUACACUGGUAAACCGUAGCUGCUUUUUUCUCUCUCUCUACCCGGUGAAAUUGUUUGCAAUUCCUGGAUGAGGAUUCAGCCGCUUGGACAGCCAGUAAGAUUUGAUUGUUAAGGUUUUCCCCAACCUUUAAAUCUUAAAAUCCCCCGUGGCGUUUCUACAUUUAUAGGACCUCAAUAUUCCAAACUUAUAUGCUGAAUGAAACAAAAUAAAACUACGUAAGACUGCAGCUCUGCUGGCCUUGGGAUAUUUCUGUCGGCGGUCUCUAUAAGAGGUUAUUUGCCAAGCGGGAUGUUGUAAUGUGAACUUUCCAACUAAUUGUCAAUUAAGUCUCCAAUUGAACAAAAGUCUUCUUCUUUCAAGUUAAUACUGUUUCUUCAAACAUAUGCCCGCUAUUUUGGGUUAUAGUUGUGAAGAGUACAUGGAUUUCGCAUUUUUCCCUCUUCUACUUUUGGUUGGCUGAAACUCGGCUCCAGAUUGAUUCGUUACACCUUUAAGGAAGUGGAUGCUUCGUACGGGAAGAGGAGGUCCUCCCGCUCUCUCUUUCUCUGCCGCGUUCUUCCUUGCACUGAUCUUACUCAGAAAUAUUACUCCAUACAAUCGUAUUUUGCACUACCGCCCACCUCUCUUUGUACCGAGUUUGUGCCGUAAAACCAACGACAGAGAAUAUUUUUUCGAAUACAAGUUCCUCUUCUCCUCAUAUAAAGAAUGCAGCUGGUCAAAUCCAAGCAAUAAUAAUUGAAAUCCCCAGUGCGUGCAUUAACUGUUGUGGCACUUUGCUUAACUUUAUUCCUUGUUUUUGCUCCCUGUUGGUCGCUCGGUGACCUGUUUAGGGUUGGUAGGGAGGAGGGGGUGUUGUUACGCUGGCUGCUUCGCCCGACUCCACGUUACAAGUCUGGGGUUGGGCUGCCUUCCAGCGACCACUGCUCACCGCUGUCGAGUCGCCGGGUCCCUCUCGCGCCGUCUCCCGGAGUCCAACGCUUCGUCUGUCAGCGGCACCAUGAGAAAACGGGCAACGGAAUACGCUGAGCCCGAACUUCAGAGAAGCGGUUCGCGUUCAACGCGCCAACCCCCCGCACACGCAGAAUUACCGCUCCGCAAUCGUUGUGCUCUGGAAUUUGCUGCCUGGAAGGGGAAGAGAAGCAGAUUUGGAUUUUUCCAAUGCCACUUUGAAAGGAACCAUCCAGAAGACUACAGGUGAAGAGCAGCGCUUGAGGUUGGACUUAAACAAUAGGCGAAUGAAUGUGGCUGUCAACCCAUAAUGAAAAUGGCAGAAGCAAACUAAAUGAAGAAGAAGUGUAGACACUAUAGCGUGGAGUAUCUGAAAUAUGGAGUUAUUCCAAUACCAAGCAACCAACAGCAGCUACUGCAUCUGUUGUGUGAAAAAGUUUUUUCAAGUGAAGCAAUGAAACUCUCCAGGCUUCUUGUACGUUUGAAGAGAAUACACUCAUAAAGCAAACAUGGACUUGGCUCACUUUCAGUCAUUUUGAACAAACUUUCAGAAAUGGCAAACACUUCAAAACAUGUUUUCCAGCACUUCAUAACGAAACAGUGAUGGUUUGCAUGCUUCAUACAUUUCAUUGCUUAUUGCUCAAUCUGGAAAGCCCCAUACAAUUGGAGAAGAAGCAUUUCUGCGAGCAGUUAGGGAGGCUUUGAGUAAGUUUUUGCAUAAGUCACCAGACCAAAUAAUUAAAGUGAUUCCACUCAGUGACAACUCUGUUCCUCUGUUCAAAGACGAAUAGAUGUAAUGUCUGAGAAUGUGGUAGACACAUUGUGCAACAUAUUUAGGACAACAGAAUUUGACAUCAAUUGGAUGAGUCAACUUUAUCAAACAACAAAUCUUUGCCCCUUGAUUAUAUUCAUUUCAAAAAAUAUUAAAGCAUGGUUCAAGAGUUGUUCGUAAGUGGACUAGAAACAGAUACUAAGGGGGAGUCAGUAUUUCGGGAUGUUGAGCAAUUUUACAAAGAAAAGGACAGUCUGCUCACCAAUAUUAUUGCUUGUGCAAAAAUGGGCACCAUCAAUGACAGUACACUACUAUGGAGUUAUUACUUUCUUGAAAAAAGCUGUUCCUAACAUAUUUACUAUCACUGUGUAAUUGACAGACAACAUCUUAUCACAAAAUACCUAAGUGAUCAGCUGUACAAAUCACUAAAUUCUGUUAUCACAGCAGUUAAUAAAAAUUAAGUCCCAUGCUCUCGAGAGCUUUGUAUUGGGGGUGAUGAACAGUUUGCAUGCUUGCUGUUGCACAUAGAAAUUAGAUGGCUCUCAAAAGGAAAUUGUCUGAGACCAUUUGUUAUACUUUUAUGAAACUGUGAUGUAAUUCUUUGAAGACGUCAAUGCUUCAUUCUGUAAUCAACUCAAGAAUUAGGCAUGACAUUGCUUAUUUGUCAGAAUUAUUCACAAAGUUUAAUGAAAUCAGUCUUCAAUUGCAAGGAGAUGAUGUGAAUCUUACCAAAAUAAAAUCAGUUGUCUCCACAUUUCUGUCCAAGUUAACCCUAUUCAAGUGCAACAUUGCAACAUUGGUCAUUGCAAUCUUUUCCGAUUUCCAAGCCUCUCUGAGUUGGAAGAGAAAGAAAGAAUACCAAAUGAUGAUCUUCACGUAUACUGUGCCCACCUGGGUGAGCUGCAUAAAGGCAUGUUAGAGAGAUUUCAGGAUCUUCUCUCAAUCCAAGUUCCAGAUUCGGUAAUAAAUCCAUUCCUGAACUCUUGUAAUGGGGAGGUAACAGGAAAGAUGGAGGAAGAACUGAUCUCGCUACAAAAUGACUUUGAGCUGAAUCCGAGACUCAAAAAAUUAUAUCAGGACUUUCAGUUGCAGAAAGAAACUAUCUGAAGGCUAUCCUACACUGUGGAAAAGGUCAAGAUGUUCUUUAUUGCCUUUCCAAUGUCACAUUUAGUGGAGGGCGGUAUCAAUGAACUUGCCCAAUUUUGUUGAAAGCAACAAAACAGACUGCAAAUGACUGAUUGUGAGGACCUGAGACUCCUGACUGACAUUCAGCCCGAUGUUAAUAUCACUGCAAACAACAGGAAUUCUGCAGAUGCUGCAAAUUCAAGCAACAUACAUCAAAGUUG